Molecule: ribosomal RNA, 483 nt
Filed under: uncultured organism
Description: SSU rRNA
Rfam family: Bacterial small subunit ribosomal RNA
Source: RNAcentral
AGAGUUUGAUCCUGGCUCAGGAUGAACGCUGGCGGCACGCUUAACACAUGCAAGUCGAGCGGAGUAAAGGCUUCGGUUUUUACUUAGCGGCGGACGGGUGAGGAACGCGUGGGUAAUCUGCCCUAUACAGGGGAAUAACACUGAGAAAUUAGUGAUAAAACCGCAUAAGCCCACGGGGUCGCAUGGCCCUGUGAGAAAAACUCCGGUGGUAUAGGAUGAGCCCGCGUCCGAUUAGCUGGUUGGUGAGGUAACGGCCCACCAAGGCGACGAUCGGUAGCCGGUCUGAGAGGAUGGACGGCCACAUUGGGACUGAGACACGGCCCAAACUCCUACGGGAGGCAGCAGUGGGGAAUAUUGCACAAUGGGGGGAACCCUGAUGCAGCGAUGCCGCGUGAAGGAAGACGGUUUUCGGAUUGUAAACUUCUAUCAGCGAGGAAGAGAACGGACAGUACUCGAGUAAGCAGCCCCGGCUAACUACGUGCC